RNAcentral lists this ribosomal RNA (488 nucleotides) under Salmonella enterica subsp. enterica serovar Ndolo. Its description in RNAcentral is "bacterial SSU rRNA". It matches the Rfam family "Bacterial small subunit ribosomal RNA", at positions 1055 to 1533 of the family's 1533-position model. The record is from RNAcentral. Lineage: Bacteria; Pseudomonadati; Pseudomonadota; Gammaproteobacteria; Enterobacterales; Enterobacteriaceae.
UCAGCUCGUGUUGUGAAAUGUUGGGUUAAGUCCCGCAACGAGCGCAACCCUUAUCCUUUGUUGCCAGCGGUCCGGCCGGGAACUCAAAGGAGACUGCCAGUGAUAAACUGGAGGAAGGUGGGGAUGACGUCAAGUCAUCAUGGCCCUUACGACCAGGGCUACACACGUGCUACAAUGGCGCAUACAAAGAGAAGCGACCUCGCGAGAGCAAGCGGACCUCAUAAAGUGCGUCGUAGUCCGGAUUGGAGUCUGCAACUCGACUCCAUGAAGUCGGAAUCGCUAGUAAUCGUGGAUCAGAAUGCCACGGUGAAUACGUUCCCGGGCCUUGUACACACCGCCCGUCACACCAUGGGAGUGGGUUGCAAAAGAAGUAGGUAGCUUAACCUUCGGGAGGGCGCUUACCACUUUGUGAUUCAUGACUGGGGUGAAGUCGUAACAAGGUAACCGUAGGGGAACCUGCGGUUGGAUCACCUCCUUACCUUAAAGAA